This 319-nucleotide ribosomal RNA is filed under the name uncultured eukaryote. RNAcentral's name for it is "partial 18S ribosomal RNA". It matches the Rfam family "Eukaryotic small subunit ribosomal RNA", at positions 1470 to 1796 of the family's 1831-position model. The record is from RNAcentral.
CCCUUAGAUGUUCUGGGCUGCACGCGCGCUACACUGAUGCAUCCAACAAGUUUUUUCCUUGUUCGAGAGGACUAGGCAAUCUUAUGAGAAUGCAUCGUGAUGGGGAUAGAUUAUUGCAAUUAUUAAUCUUCAACGAGGAAUUCCUAGUAAGCGCGAGUCAUCAGCUCGUGCUGAUUACGUCCCUGCCCUUUGUACACACCGCCCGUCGCUGCAACUGAUUGGGUGACCUGGUGAACAUCUUGGACCGGCCCACUCAAUUUCGAGAGGACUGGAAAAGGCCGUAAAUCAGGUACAUCUAGAAAUUGCAAAAGUCGUAACA